RNAcentral lists this ribosomal RNA (463 nucleotides) under uncultured bacterium. RNAcentral's name for it is "partial 16S ribosomal RNA". It matches the Rfam family "Bacterial small subunit ribosomal RNA", at positions 28 to 507 of the family's 1533-position model. The record is from RNAcentral.
GAUGAACGCUGACAGAAUGCUUAACACAUGCAAGUCUUUGGCGAAGCUGUGCUUGCACCGCCUAGCCAAGGCGGACGGGUGAGUAACGCGUAAGGAACUUGCCCUGCAGUCAGGGAUAACAGACGGAAACGACUGAUAAGACCUGGUAAAGUCAGGCGGACUCCUGUCCAGCCUGAUGAAAAGAGAUGCUGCAGGAGAGCCUUGCGUCCUAUUAGCUUGUUGGUGGGGUAACGGCCCACCAAGGCGAUGAUAGGUAGCCGGCCUGAGAGGGUGGACGGCCAAAAGGGGAAUGAGAGACGGCCGUUACGCAUACGGGAGGCAGCAGUGGGGAAUAUUGGAAAAGGGGGGAAACACUGAUCAAGAAAUUCUGUGUGCAAGAUGAAGGUUUUCGGAUUGAAAAGAGCUUUCAGAAGGGAAGAAAAAAAUGACGGUAACUGCAGAAGAAGCGACGGCUAAAUACGUG